Pelobates cultripes (western spadefoot toad) is the source of this 336-nucleotide non-coding RNA. NCBI's taxonomy places the organism in Eukaryota, Metazoa, Chordata, Amphibia, Anura, Pelobatidae. The record is from the annotation of a GenBank genome assembly.
GCUUAAUUUGGUGGACUCAUGUUAUAAAUCUGCUUUUACGUUCUUAAGUUAACCUAAACCUUUUACUCUUACAAAAGCAUGGUCUUACCUACGAAUUGCCUAUAUUUUAUUUAAGAAUGGUUCUCAGUAUUUUGUUUAUUCUUAACAUAUGUCUCCAUUCCAAUCAAUAGCCUCAGUGUACCUUUCCUAAUAGCAUAACUGGCAGGUUUUAUUGCAUAUAUGAAGGCCCCACUUAAACGGUUCCCACCCUGAAUUAUGUGUCCUCUAACCAGGCUAUACCCUACGUGACAUAUACCUGAUGGUUUGAUGGGUUCACCCAACCUAUGUGUACUGAGG